GGGUGAGUAACACGUGAGCAACCUGCCCCUGACUCUGGGAUAAGCGCUGGAAACGGCGUCUAAUACUGGAUACGAGACGUGACCGCAUGGUCAACGUUUGGAAAGAUUUUUCGGUUGGGGAUGGGCUCGCGGCCUAUCAGCUUGUUGGUGAGGUAAUGGCUCACCAAGGCGUCGACGGGUAGCCGGCCUGAGAGGGUGACCGGCCACACUGGGACUGAGACACGGCCCAGACUCCUACGGGAGGCAGCAGUGGGGAAUAUUGCACAAUGGGCGGAAGCCUGAUGCAGCAACGCCGCGUGAGGGAUGACGGCCUUCGGGUUGUAAACCUCUUUUAGCAGGGAAGAAGCGAAAGUGACGGUACCUGCAGAAAAAGCGCCGGCUAACUACGUGCCAGCAGCCGCGGUAAUACGUAGGGCGCAAGCGUUAUCCGGAAUUAUUGGGCGUAAAGAGCUCGUAGGCGGUUUGUCGCGUCUGCUGUGAAAUCUGGGGGCUCAACCCCCAGCCUGCAGUGGGUACGGGCAGACUAGAGUGCGGUAGGGGAGAUUGGAAUUCCUGGUGUAGCGGUGGAAUGCGCAGAUAUCAGGAGGAACACCGAUGGCGAAGGCAGAUCUCUGGGCCGUAACUGACGCUGAGGAGCGAAAGGGUGGGGAGCAAACAGGCUUAGAUACCCUGGUAGUCCACCCCGUAAACGUUGGGAACUAGUUGUGGGGUCCAUUCCACGGAUUCCGUGACGCAGCUAACGCAUUAAGUUCCCCGCCUGGGGAGUACGGCCGCAAGGCUAAAACUCAAAGGAAUUGACGGGGACCCGCACAAGCGGCGGAGCAUGCGGAUUAAUUCGAUGCAACGCGAAGAACCUUACCAAGGCUUGACAUAUAC
This 876-nucleotide ribosomal RNA is filed under the name Microbacterium phyllosphaerae. RNAcentral's name for it is "bacterial SSU rRNA". It matches the Rfam family "Bacterial small subunit ribosomal RNA", at positions 104 to 991 of the family's 1533-position model. The record is from RNAcentral. Lineage: Bacteria; Bacillati; Actinomycetota; Actinomycetes; Micrococcales; Microbacteriaceae.